UUUACAGUCACUUCUGCUCUUGUUCCAGGUGAAAUAAUUGGUGGAGAAAUAAUAACAUUUUCCUCCAUUUAGAUCCCAGUCUGGUUCACAUGUUGGAUAUUGUUCAGCUUUGAACACAAUAAAUGACAUGUUUCAGGUUUGAUGUUGCAGAGCCUUUUCUUCCUCCAUCUCCUCAGACUAAUUGCACCUGGUGUCUCCUCCUACUGAGGCCUCUGACGUCUCCUCCUACAUGACGACCCACCAACCCUCUGCUUUGAUUCUCUGCCAGCUGUUUCUGGAUUCUGGGCCUCGUGGUCUGUGUCUGACUGACGGAUGCAGAACCUCCUGUGGUGUUUGUGGACCUGUGGUUUCUAUUGGUGACUGGUUUGUGCUCGGCUCAUCGCUCUCAGUCUUCAGGAUCCAGACUCCAGUUUUAAUGGAUGGAAGCUUUGUGUGUAAAUCAUAGUAUUUGUUGUCACAGCAGUCAGUCAUCAAGCAUCUGUUAGUGUGACGUGUUGUUAGACUCACCUUCAG
Long non-coding RNA from Betta splendens (Siamese fighting fish), 513 nucleotides. RefSeq lists it as uncharacterized. NCBI's taxonomy places the organism in Eukaryota, Metazoa, Chordata, Actinopteri, Anabantiformes, Osphronemidae. The record is from RefSeq and is a predicted model, not a curated record. The transcript is spliced from 3 exons.